This 428-nucleotide ribosomal RNA is filed under the name Pseudomonadota bacterium. RNAcentral's name for it is "Proteobacteria bacterium partial 16S ribosomal RNA". It matches the Rfam family "Bacterial small subunit ribosomal RNA", at positions 355 to 776 of the family's 1533-position model. The record is from RNAcentral. Lineage: Bacteria; Pseudomonadati; Pseudomonadota.
UGGGGAAUAUUGGACAAUGGGCGAAAGCCUGAUCCAGCCAUGCCGCGUGUGUGAAGAAGGUCUUCGGAUUGUAAAGCACUUUAAGUUGGGAGGAAGGGCAGUAGCGAAUACCUUGCUGUUUUGACGUUACCGACAGAAUAAGCACCGGCUAACUCUGUGCCAGCAGCCGCGGUAAUACAGAGGGUGCAAGCGUUAAUCGGAAUUACUGGGCGUAAAGCGCGCGUAGGUGGUUCGUUAAGUUGAAUGUGAAAGCCCCGGGCUCAACCUGGGAACUGCAUCCAAAACUGGCGAGCUAGAGUAGGGCAGAGGGUAGUGGAAUUUCCUGUGUAGCGGUGAAAUGCGUAGAUAUAGGAAGGAACACCAGUGGCGAAGGCGACCACCUGGGCUCAUACUGACACUGAGGUGCGAAAGCGUGGGGAGCAAACAGG